UAAGCGUGCGCAGGCGGUUUUGUAAGUUUGUCGUGAAAGCCCCGGGCUCAACCUGGGAAUUGCGAUGAAGACUGCAAGGCUUGAAUCUGGCAGAGGGGGGUAGAAUUCCACGUGUAGCAGUGAAAUGCGUAGAGAUGUGGAGGAACACCGAUGGCGAAGGCAGCCCCCUGGGUCAAGAUUGACGCUCAUGCACGAAAGCGUGGGGAGCAAACAGGAUUAGAUACCCUGGU
Molecule: ribosomal RNA, 230 nt
Filed under: uncultured bacterium
Lineage: Bacteria
Description: partial 16S ribosomal RNA
Rfam family: Bacterial small subunit ribosomal RNA
Source: RNAcentral